This 492-nucleotide ribosomal RNA is filed under the name uncultured bacterium. Its description in RNAcentral is "partial 16S ribosomal RNA". It matches the Rfam family "Bacterial small subunit ribosomal RNA", at positions 29 to 507 of the family's 1533-position model. The record is from RNAcentral.
AGUGAACGCUGGCGGUAGGCCUAACACAUGCAAGUCGAACGGCAGCACAGUAAGAGCUUGCUCUUACGGGUGGCGAGUGGCGGACGGGUGAGGAAUACAUCGGAAUCUACUUUUUCGUGGGGGAUAACGUAGGGAAACUUACGCUAAUACCGCAUACGACCUACGGGUGAAAGCAGGGGAUCUUCGGACCUUGCGCGAUUGAAUGCGCCGAUGUCGGAUUAGCUAGUUGGCGGGGUAAAGGCCCACCCAGGCGACGAUCCGUAGCUGGUCUGAGAGGAUGAUCAGCCACACUGGAACUGAGACACGGUCCAGACUCCUACGGGAGGCAGCAGUGGGGAAUAUUGGACAAUGGGCGCAAGCCUGAUCCAGCCAUACCGCGUGGGUGAAGAAGGCCUUCGGGUUGUAAAGCCCUUUUGUUGGGAAAGAAAAGCAGCAGGUUAAUACCCCGCUGUUCUGACGGUACCCAAAGAAUAAGCACCGGCUAACUUCGUG